GACGAACGCUGGCGGCGUGCUUAACACAUGCGAGUCGUACGGUAAGGCCCUUUCGGGGGUACACGAGUGGCGAACGGGUGAGUAACACGUGAGUAACCUGCCCACAACUUUGGGAUAACGCUAGGAAACUGGUGCUAAUACUGGAUAUGUGCUCCUGCUGCAUGGUGGGGGUUGGAAAGCUCCGGCGGUUGUGGAUGGACUCGCGGCCUAUCAGCUUGUUGGUGGGGUAGUGGCCUACCAAGGCGGCGACGGGUGGCCGGCCUGAGAGGGUGACCGGCCACAUUGGGACUGAGAUACGGCCCAGACUCCUACGGGAGGCAGCAGUGGGGAAUAUUGCACAAUGGGCGCAAGCCUGAUGCAGCAACGCCGCGGGCGGGAUGACGGCCUUCGGGUUGUAAACCGCUUUCAGCAGGGACGAAGCUUUUUGUGACGGUACCUGCAGAAGAAGCACCGGCUAACUACGUG
This 465-nucleotide ribosomal RNA is filed under the name uncultured bacterium. RNAcentral describes it as "partial 16S ribosomal RNA". It matches the Rfam family "Bacterial small subunit ribosomal RNA", at positions 28 to 507 of the family's 1533-position model. The record is from RNAcentral.